AGCGGAGGAAAAGAAACUAACAAGGAUUCCCCUAGUAACGGCGAGUGAAGAGGGAAGAGCCCAAGAUUGAAAGCUGGCGUCUUCGGCGUCCGCAUUGUAAUCUCAAGAAGUGUUUUCCGCUUCGGACCAAGCCUAAGUCCCUUGGAAAAGGGCAUCAUAGAGGGUGAUAAUCCCGUACAUGGCUUGGAGCGCCCGAGGCUUUGUGAUACGCUUUCUAAGAGUCGAGUUGUUUGGGAAUGCAGCUCAAAAUGGGUGGUAAAUGCCAUCUAAGGCUAAAUAUUGGGGAGAGACCGAUAGCGAACAAGUACAGUGAUGGAAAGAUGAAAAGAACUUUGAAAAGAGAGUUAAACAGUACGUGAAAUUGCCAAAAGGGAAGGGUAGGAGGUCAGAGAUGCGGCCUGGGAUUCAGCCUUGCUUUUGCUUGGUGUUUUUCCCAGAUUGCAGGCCAACGUCGGUUUUGGGCACUGGAGAAGGGUAGGAGGAACGUGGCACCCCUCGGGGUGUGUUAUAGCCUCCUACUGGAUACAGCGACCGAGACCGAGGACAGCAGCGUACUCGUAAGAGCGGGCCCUCGGGCACCUUUACGCUUAGGGCGUUGGCAUAAUGGCCCUCUACCACCCGUCUUGA
RNAcentral lists this ribosomal RNA (627 nucleotides) under Moesziomyces parantarcticus. RNAcentral's name for it is "eukaryotic LSU rRNA". It matches the Rfam family "Eukaryotic large subunit ribosomal RNA", at positions 49 to 657 of the family's 3401-position model. The record is from RNAcentral. Lineage: Eukaryota; Fungi; Basidiomycota; Ustilaginomycetes; Ustilaginales; Ustilaginaceae.